UUAAAAAGCUCGUAGUUGAAUUUCGGGAUUAGUACGUUGGUCGUGCCUUCGGUACGUACUGGUGUUACUGAUUCCUACCUUCUGACGAACCAUCAUGUCAUUAACUUGGUGUGGCGGGGAAUCAGGACUGUUACUUUGAAAAAAUUAGAGUGUUUAAAGCAGGCUCGCGCUUGAAUACAUUAGCAUGGAAUAAUGAAAUAGGACGUUGACCCUAUUUUGUUGGUUUCUAGGAUUGACGUAAUGAUUAAUAGGGAUAGUUGGGGG
RNAcentral lists this ribosomal RNA (264 nucleotides) under uncultured Glomeromycotina. Its description in RNAcentral is "partial 18S ribosomal RNA". It matches the Rfam family "Eukaryotic small subunit ribosomal RNA", at positions 619 to 888 of the family's 1831-position model. Lineage: Eukaryota; Fungi; Glomeromycota. The record is from RNAcentral.